UUGUGGUUUGAGUUGCGAGGUACCUUCACUAUUGUAGUGUGGAUACAUUUAAUGUGUUUGGGAGACUGCAAUGCCCAUGUUUCUUCAGGAUGGGACCUUAUAAAAAAAGUUGAUUUUAUUUUUUGUAGUAGUAGUUUUUAAGGAAAUGUGUCAAAAUUGAGGACUAGGAGAAUGAGAUAUCCUCUUAUUUUUCGUCUGUUGUG
Molecule: unclassified non-coding RNA, 203 nt
Filed under: Hevea brasiliensis (rubber tree)
Lineage: Eukaryota; Viridiplantae; Streptophyta; Magnoliopsida; Malpighiales; Euphorbiaceae
Source: RNAcentral